Molecule: ribosomal RNA, 458 nt
Filed under: uncultured bacterium
Lineage: Bacteria
Description: partial 16S ribosomal RNA
Rfam family: Bacterial small subunit ribosomal RNA
Source: RNAcentral
CCUACGGGAGGCUGCAGUGGGGAAUAUUGCACAAUGGGGGAAACCCUGAUGCAGCGACGCCGCGUGAGUGAAGAAGUAAUUCGUUACGUAAAGCUCUAUCAGCAGGGAAGAAAUACUGACCUUACGGUCAGCAGACGGUACCUGAGUAAGAAGCCCCGGCUAACUACGUGCCAGCAGCCGCGGGAAUACGUAGGGGGCAAGCGUUAUCCGGAUUUACUGGGUGUAAAGGGAGCGGAGACGGUGCGCCAAGUCUGGAGUGAAAUGCCGCAGCUUAACUGCGGAACUGCUUUGGAAACUGGCGAACUAGAGUGCGGGAGGGGUAAGCGGAAUUCCUAGUGUAGCGGUGAAAUGCGUAGAUAUUAGGAGGAACACCGGUGGCGAAGGCAGCUUGCUGGACCGUAACUGACGUUGAGGCUCGAAAGCGUGGGGAGCGAACAGGAUUAGAUACCCCAGUAGUC